GAUGAACGCUGGCGGCGUGCUUAAUACAUGCCAGUCGAACGCUCAGACGAGGCUUUUGUUCCUCUGAUGUUAGCCGCACACGUGUGUAACACAUGUGGAUCCCCCCCCUAUCUUACUGUGAUACCUUCGGGAAACCGGUGCUAAUGCCUGAUAACAUGUUGUCCCGUAUGGUUCAACGGUGAGAGACGUUCUUGCUGGCACUUAUCGCUGGGUCCGCGCGGUUUUUGCUAGUUGGUAAGGUAACGGCUUACUAAGGCAAUGACGCGUAGCCGAGCAGAGAGGCUGAUCGGCCACACUGGAACUGAGACACGGUCCAGAGUCCUACGGGAGGCAGCAGUAGGGAAGCGGCCGCAAUGGGCGAAAGCGUGACAGAGCGACGCAGCGUGAGUGAAGAAGGUAUGCGGGUCGUAAAACUGUGUUACUAGGGAAGAACAAAUGUGUCAGUAACUAUGCACGUCUUGACGGUACUGAGUAAAAAAGCCCCGGCUAACUACGUG
Molecule: ribosomal RNA, 497 nt
Filed under: uncultured bacterium
Lineage: Bacteria
Description: partial 16S ribosomal RNA
Rfam family: Bacterial small subunit ribosomal RNA
Source: RNAcentral